This 75-nucleotide transfer RNA is filed under the name bacterium (Candidatus Blackallbacteria) CG13_big_fil_rev_8_21_14_2_50_49_14. Its description in RNAcentral is "tRNA-Thr". It matches the Rfam family "tRNA". Rfam says of the family: Transfer RNA (tRNA) molecules are approximately 80 nucleotides in length. Their secondary structure includes four short double-helical elements and three loops (D, anti-codon, and T loops). The record is from RNAcentral. RNAcentral also lists the same sequence under 2 other names. Lineage: Bacteria; Candidatus Blackallbacteria.
GCCGAUGUAGCUCAACGGUAGAGCAACGGUUUUGUAAACCGUAGGUUGUAGGUUCGAUUCCUAUCAUCGGCAUCA